CACGUAGGCAACCUGCCCACAAGACAGGGAUAACUACCGGAAACGGUAGCUAAUACCCGAUACAUCCUUUUCCUGCAUGGGAGAAGGAGGAAAGGCGGAGCAAUCUGUCACUUGUGGAUGGGCCUGCGGCGCAUUAGCUAGUUGGUGGGGUAAAGGCUUACCAAGGCGACGAUGCGUAGCCGACCUGAGAGGGUGAUCGGCCACACUGGGACUGAGACACGGCCCAGACUCCUACGGGAGGCAGCAGUAGGGAAUCUUCCGCAAUGGGCGAAAGCCUGACGGAGCAACGCCGCGUGAGUGAUGAAGGUUUUCGGAUCGUAAAGCUCUGUUGCCAGGGAAGAACGUCUUGUAGAGUAACUGCUACAAGAGUGACGGUACCUGAGAAGAAAGCCCCGGCUAACUACGUG
RNAcentral lists this ribosomal RNA (407 nucleotides) under uncultured maize rhizosphere bacterium c9_23. RNAcentral describes it as "bacterial SSU rRNA". It matches the Rfam family "Bacterial small subunit ribosomal RNA", at positions 114 to 507 of the family's 1533-position model. The record is from RNAcentral.